This is a long non-coding RNA of Photinus pyralis (common eastern firefly), 579 nucleotides long. RefSeq lists it as uncharacterized. The transcript is spliced from 3 exons. NCBI's taxonomy places the organism in Eukaryota, Metazoa, Arthropoda, Insecta, Coleoptera, Lampyridae. The record is from RefSeq and is a predicted model, not a curated record.
GGGAAGUGAUAACAGAUGGCGCUACCACAAAACAAAAUGGGCGGUGUAAACGGGGUUAAAUUGUGUUUUGUAUGUAUCGUGCAUACGUAUUACCAUUGAGUAUUACUUUGUUUUGCCGUGUUUUAAUUGCAAUGAUUACUUUGGCGGAUCUAUUAGUGACACGGACACAAAGACCACUAAUUGAAGGCGAGUGCCUUGUUAAAGCAGGGCAUAUUAUUUUAUGUGGCACUACCAGCGAAAACGAAAGUGAGGCUAUUGCACUGUGUUUACAAACGUCGAAUUUAACAGGUGUCCCUCACUCUGUACGUAUUGUUUUAAAUCCAAGUGGACCUAAAGAUUGGCAGUGUAGCUGUUCUUGUAAAGUGGGGGCAGGUGGCAAGUGUAAACAUAUUACAGGAGUGUUCAUAUAUGUUAACCGGUAUGAAUUAGAAACAUUGAGUUGCACUGACUUGCAACAAGCAUGGGGUAAAAAGAAAGUACCUACACUUAUACUCUGAAGAUGACGAAUCUAUUAAUCGCUACUGUCACGUGAAGAAGGGUUUUGUUUCAACACAGCACGAUGAACUGCCAGAUAUUUUA